This is a small nucleolar RNA of Cynoglossus semilaevis (tongue sole), 142 nucleotides long. Its record names the gene SNORA72. It matches the Rfam family "Small nucleolar RNA SNORA72". Rfam says of the family: U72 is a member of the H/ACA class of snoRNAs. The record is from Ensembl. Lineage: Eukaryota; Metazoa; Chordata; Actinopteri; Pleuronectiformes; Cynoglossidae.
CUGCGAACAUUUCUCGCCUGUAUGACCUGCUUUUGUGGUCAAGUCAGGGCUAGUAGUUCGCUAAAUUAACACCAGCACGAGAUCUAGCAGACCUGACAAUGACAUUUGGUCUGUUCUCACCCUGCACCCGUUGGUUACAAUA